GAUUCAUUGGGCGUAAAGGGUGCGUAGGUGGCGCCGUAAGUCAGGUGCGAAAUUUCGGAGNUUAACUCCGAAACUGCAUUUGAUACUGCGGUGCUUGAGGACUGGAGAGGAGACUGGAAUUCACGGUGUAGCAGUGAAAUGCGUAGAUAUCGUGAGGAAGACCAGUGGCGAAGGCGGGUCUCUGGACAGUUCCUGACACUGAGGCACGAAGGCCAGGGGAGCAAACGGGAUUAGAUACCCCGGUAGUCCUGGCAGUAAACGGUGCACGUUUGGUGUGGGAGGAUUCGACCCCUUCUGCGCCGGAGCUAACGCGUUAAACGUGCCGCCUGGGGAGUACGGUCGCAAGAUUAAAACUCAAAGAAAUUGACGGGGGCCCGCACAAGCGGUGGAGUAUGUGGCUCUAAUUCGAUGCAACGCGAAGAACCUUACCUGGCCUUGACAUGCAUCUCUAAGCGCGUGAAAGCGCGUGACUCCCGAAAGGGAGAAUUUGCACAGGUGCUGCAUGGCU
This 508-nucleotide ribosomal RNA is filed under the name uncultured Verrucomicrobiota bacterium. RNAcentral's name for it is "bacterial SSU rRNA". It matches the Rfam family "Bacterial small subunit ribosomal RNA", at positions 548 to 1050 of the family's 1533-position model. The record is from RNAcentral. Lineage: Bacteria; Pseudomonadati; Verrucomicrobiota.